This is a non-coding RNA of Camellia sinensis, 1101 nucleotides long. Lineage: Eukaryota; Viridiplantae; Streptophyta; Magnoliopsida; Ericales; Theaceae. The record is from RefSeq and is a predicted model, not a curated record.
UACACACACAUUGAUUUAGGGUUUUUUUUUUUUUUUUGGGUUGUGAAAUGGUGUGCGAGUUCUGGGGGUUUAUCCUUUUUUGUAGGACAAAAAAUCUAGGGGCUUUAUGUUCUUCGGUAUUCACCCUUUUUCAUCACGGAUCGAACCUUUUUCGUAGGUCUAAAAAUUGAUGCUUGCAAGAGUUUGGGGCUGAUUCUAAAUAGUAGGGGGUCGGGGUUCUUUUUUCCAAAACAAAACUAUUCAAAGUCUUACUGAAACUCGUACGUAGCUCCACUACAAGCUAGAUUUGAAUCUUUGAGGAAGAUUAAUUCCCUGUUAGGCAUGGGUUCUCUUUAAGUAUAUUUUAUUAUUCAGUUAGUUCCUUUAUCUAUUUCUAGAUUAUUGCCUUCUUGUUAUCAGAUCUAUAUAUAUAUAUCCCAAAAUGAGCUAAAGAUCUAUCUUUUUCCUUCAAAAUAUUCAAAUCACUACCCCUCCACUUUUUUUCCCUGGAAUAAGAGUCAUCCCAAUUUUGAAAAGUAGUCUUUCUUUGUUAUUAUUUAGUUGUUUUUCUGAACUGGGUUUUUGAAAUUUCAAACAAAUCUUUGGUUUUCUUACUUAAUCUAGAAAGAAAACUAUAUCUAGGGAGGUGGGUUAGUUUUUCUAAGAAUGGAAAGUUCUAGAGGCAGGAGAGUGGAGAAGAGAGUGUACAAAGAGAGUUUGGAGGAUCAAGAUGAUAGGAUGUUUCAUUUGAAGAAGCCAAAGCUACUGGGUUUGGCUAGGUCUAUUGGGUUGUUUUUGUGUAUAUAAAUGUUUCUACUUCUGAAUUUCUUGGUUCUGUUCAUGGAUUGAUGAAGCUUGGAGUUUGGAUAAAGCUAUUGUGGUUCUUCGGAGUUCGGAUGAGUGGAUGUUGCAUAUGUAGCAGUUGUUGCUAUUUAUUGUCGAUUUCUUGGACUAUUUAAUUGUAUAAUUUAGAUGAUUGGUUGGAUUCUCUUGAGCUUAAUUUGGAUGGUUUGCUUGUGAGUGUGUACUGCUAAUUUCUUUUUAUUCAUGUUGGACUUUAAUUUCUUGUUACUCUUGGGUGAUAGUUCGUCUUUUGAAUUAAGGUAAUUUAUUUGAAGAACA